Hydra vulgaris (swiftwater hydra) is the source of this 2344-nucleotide long non-coding RNA. RefSeq lists it as uncharacterized. NCBI's taxonomy places the organism in Eukaryota, Metazoa, Cnidaria, Hydrozoa, Anthoathecata, Hydridae. The record is from RefSeq and is a predicted model, not a curated record.
UAUACGUUGGAGGCCAAUAUUAUAUCGGGCAAAAGCUUUCAGUGGAUCAUAGUCAAUUGAAAGGAAAUUUGCAAUUUUAAAGUUUUGAUUAAAGUUGCAAUCAAAUAUGAUUAUUUAAAAGAUAAUAAAUGUGAUAAACCUACAUUCAAUAUAAUUUUGUUUUGGUCAUAGAGAUUUGUGUUACUACAACAAAUACUACAUCUUUAUCUACAACAAAUAUUCCAUCUACAUGUGGUAUAAAUGGCAUGUUUACAAAUUAUUACUUUUCAAUAUGAAUAUGCAUUUCUUAGCAAUCGCAAUUUUUAUUUUUUAUUACAACUUUGUUAACCUUUAGUUACAAGUGUUAAUCAAGCUGUAGCAGCUGCUACAAGUGGUAAUACAAGUGCCUUAUAAACAAUUAUUUUUUAAUAUAUGUAUCUUUUAUGUAUGUGUUAAAAUGUUGUUUUAAAUAUGUGCAUGCCUUUUUUAUAAAUUGCAAAUAAAAUUUGAUUCUAUUACAACUUUUUUUUACCUUUAGUCCCACAACCUCCUCAACAUGCUCGACAACCUUCUGCUGGGACCAGCACCCUGGACCGAGUAGCAUUGGUCAUUUUUGUGAUGGGUUAUGAGAGAAUGAUGGUGAAUUAUUCAGCUUAGCCCAUCAUCCUCCUAACAGGGUACUGGGAGCAGAAGGGGAUAUCACCAUGAGGAGAGCGUGGUUUUAUUUAUAUACAUAUUUUGUAUUGUGAAACUUUUUAAAAUAUAAGUUUUAAAACUUUGGGUUCUUUUUAGGGUGGAUACUCAAACCUGCAUCUUGUAAUGUGGUAAGAUUUGUAAAGUUUUGUCUCUUUUUUAACACAAUUUAAAGACAUUUUCAAAUUUUUUAUUGACAUUUUUUUAUAAUUUGAAUAAGAAGAGGCUGGGGGGCAUUGGAUGUGGCACACACCCCUACCCUUACUAACAUGGUAAAAAUAUUAUUGUCUUAACGAUUAAUUCAAGCUUUUUUUUUUGUUUUCUUCUAUACAUUGCUUCUUUAAAAUAUCUUGAGAAACUUUAAUAGGAAAAUUGUUAAUUUUAGCAUAUUAUAACAAUGUAUGACUUAUUAUGAAAUCUGUUAACAGUUUUCUCACAAUCGUUUAAAACUUUUAUAGCAUUAUGUCAGGUAUUGAAUGGUUCUUUAAACAGUUUAUUUAAUAUAUCAUGUGGUAUAAAUGGUAUGUUUACAAAUUAUUACUUUUCAAUAUGAAUAUGCAUUUCUUAGCAAUCGCAAUUUUUAUUUUUUAUUACAACUUUGUUAACCUUUAGUUACAAGUGUUAACCAAGCUGUAGCAGCUGCAACAAGUGGUAAUACAAGUGCCUCAUAAACUAUUAUUUUUUAAUAUAUGUAUCUUUUAUGUAUGUGUUAAAAUGUUGUUUCAAAUAUGUGCAUGCCUUUCUUAUAAAUUGAAAUAAAACAUCAAUAGGAAAAUUGUUAAUUUUAGCAUAUUAUAAAAAUGUAUGGCUUAUUAUGUAAUCUGUUAACAGUUUUCUUACAAUCGUUUAAAAUUUUUAUAGCAUUACGUCAGGUAUUGAAUGGUUCUUUAAACAGUUUACUUAAUAUAUACAUGUGGUAUAAAUGGUAUGUUAUUACUUUUCAAUAUGAAUAUGCAUUUCUUAGCAAUCGCUAAUUCAAUACGUCAGGUAUUGAAUGGUCCUUUAAACAGUUUACUUAAUAUAUCAAUAUUAUCAUUUUGGAAUAUUUAACUCUCUGUGCUUACUUUUGAAAACUUCAUUGAUACCCUUGAAUGAUAUAUCAGAUACAUUAACGCUUCGUAUAAAUAAUGAUGGUGUACCUUUAUCAAGAUGUUUAGUUUUAUGUAUUUGGCCUAUUCUUGGUAUGGUAAAAGAACUACCUCAUCUUGGUGUCUUUACAAUAGGCAUCUACUCAGGAACUUCCAAGCCUAACCGUGUAAAUGAUUAUUUAAAAGCUUUUGUUGAUGAUAUGUUGACAGUAGCAAAAAUUGAUGUAUUUUUUAAUGACAAAAAAUUUAAUAUUACUUUUGAUGGUUUUAUUUGUGAUGCACCUGCAAGAUCAUUUUUAAAGUGUACGAAAGGGCAUUCUGGAUAUUAUGGCUGUGAAAGGUGUACACAGAAAGGGGAGUACUUUAACAAUCGUAUAAUAUUUCCUGAACUUUCUCCUCCUUUAAGAACUGAUGAGCAAUUUAAUGCAUUUAUUUGACAUGGUCAUCAUAAUGGAAAAUCUUCUUUGCAUGACACAAGUAUUGGUGUUGUUGGUCAAUUUGUUUUAAACUAUAAAUAUAUAAAAUUUACUAUAUAAAAUGUAAACGUCUUAUAUUUUUGUAAAUAAUAAAAUCGACUUAGUUAA